UAGCGGCGAGCGAACGGGGAGCAGCCCAGAGCCUGAAUCAGUGUGUGUGUUAGUGGAAGCGUCUGGAAAGGCGCGCGAUACAGGGUGACAGCCCCGUACACAAAAAUGCACAUGCUGUGAGCUCGAUGAGUAGGGCGGGACACGUGGUAUCCUGUCUGAAUAUGGGGGGACCAUCCUCCAAGGCUAAAUACUCCUGACUGACCGAUAGUGAACCAGUACCGUGAGGGAAAGGCGAAAAGAACCCCGGCGAGGGGAGUGAAAAAGAACCUGAAACCGUGUACGUACAAGCAGUGGGAGCACGCUUAGGCGUGUGACUGCGUACCUUUUGUAUAAUGGGUCAGCGACUUAUAUUCUGUAGCAAGGUUAACCGAAUAGGGGAGCCGAAGGGAAACCGAGUCUUAACUGGGCGUUAAGUUGCAGGGUAUAGACCCGAAACCCGGUGAUCUAGCCAUGGGCAGGUUGAAGGUUGGGUAACACUAACUGGAGGACCGAACCGACUAAUGUUGAAAAAUUAGCGGAUGACUUGUGGCUGGGGGUGAAAGGCCAAUCAAACCGGGAGAUAGCUGGUUCUCCCCGAAAGCUAUUUAGGUAGCGCCUCGUGAAUUCAUCUCCGGGGGUAGAGCACUGUUUCGGCAAGGGGGUCAUCCCGACUUACCAACCCGAUGCAAACUGCGAAUACCGGAGAAUGUUAUCACGGGAGACACACGGCGGGUGCUAACGUCCGUCGUGAAGAGGGAAACAACCCAGACCGCCAGCUAAGGUCCCAAAGUCAUGGUUAAGUGGGAAACGAUGUGGGAAGGCCCAGACAGCCAGGAUGUUGGCUUAGAAGCAGCCAUCAUUUAAAGAAAGCGUAAUAGCUCACUGGUCGAGUCGGCCUGCGCGGAAGAUGUAACGGGGCUAAACCAUGCACCGAAGCUGCGGCAGCGACACUAUGUGUUGUUGGGUAGGGGAGCGUUCUGUAAGCCUGCGAAGGUGUGCUGUGAGGCAUGCUGGAGGUAUCAGAAGUGCGAAUGCUGACAUAAGUAACGAUAAAGCGGGUGAAAAGCCCGCUCGCCGGAAGACCAAGGGUUCCUGUCCAACGUUAAUCGGGGCAGGGUGAGUCGACCCCUAAGGCGAGGCCGAAAGGCGUAGUCGAUGGGAAACAGGUUAAUAUUCCUGUACUUGGUGUUACUGCGAAGGGGGGACGGAGAAGGCUAUGUUGGCCGGGCGACGGUUGUCCCGGUUUAAGCGUGUAGGCUGGUUUUCCAGGCAAAUCCGGAAAAUCAAGGCUGAGGCGUGAUGACGAGGCACUACGGUGCUGAAGCAACAAAUGCCCUGCUUCCAGGAAAAGCCUCUAAGCAUCAGGUAACAUCAAAUCGUACCCCAAACCGACACAGGUGGUCAGGUAGAGAAUACCAAGGCGCUUGAGAGAACUCGGGUGAAGGAACUAGGCAAAAUGGUGCCGUAACUUCGGGAGAAGGCACGCUGAUAUGUAGGUGAAGCGACUUGCUCGUGGAGCUGAAAUCAGUCGAAGAUACCAGCUGGCUGCAACUGUUUAUUAAAAACACAGCACUGUGCAAACACGAAAGUGGACGUAUACGGUGUGACGCCUGCCCGGUGCCGGAAGGUUAAUUGAUGGGGUCAGCGCAAGCGAAGCUCUUGAUCGAAGCCCCGGUAAACGGCGGCCGUAACUAUAACGGUCCUAAGGUAGCGAAAUUCCUUGUCGGGUAAGUUCCGACCUGCACGAAUGGCGUAAUGAU
This 1739-nucleotide ribosomal RNA is filed under the name Escherichia coli 4-203-08_S3_C2. RNAcentral describes it as "bacterial LSU rRNA". It matches the Rfam family "Bacterial large subunit ribosomal RNA", at positions 244 to 2008 of the family's 2925-position model. The record is from RNAcentral. Lineage: Bacteria; Pseudomonadati; Pseudomonadota; Gammaproteobacteria; Enterobacterales; Enterobacteriaceae.